RNAcentral lists this ribosomal RNA (748 nucleotides) under uncultured marine bacterium. RNAcentral's name for it is "bacterial SSU rRNA". It matches the Rfam family "Bacterial small subunit ribosomal RNA", at positions 56 to 854 of the family's 1533-position model. The record is from RNAcentral.
UGCAGUCGACGAAGUAGCAAUACUUAGUGGCAGACGGGUGAGUAACAUGUAGGUAUCUGCCCUUUGGCCUGGAAUAACACGAGGAAACUUGUGCUACUACCGGAUAAGUCUUUACGGAGAAAGCUUUAUGCACCAUUGGAUGAGCCUGCACUUGAUUAGUUUGUUGGUGGGGUAAUGGCCUACCAAGACGAUGAUCAAUAGCUGAUUUGAGAGGAUGAUCAGCCACAUUGGGACUGAGACACGGCCCAAACUCCUACGGGAGGCAGCAGUGGGGAAUCUUGCACAAUGGAGGAAACUCUGAUGCAGCGAUGCCGCGUGAGUGAAGAAGGCCCUUGGGUUGUAAAGCUCUUUCGUCGGGGAAGAAAAUGACUGUACCCGAAUAAGAAGGUCCGGCUAACUUCGUGCCAGCAGCCGCGGUAAUACGAAGGGACCUAGCGUAGUUCGGAAUUACUGGGCUUAAAGAGUUCGUAGGUGGUCGAAAAAGUUGGUGGUGAAAUCCCAGAGCUUAACUCUGGAACUGCCAUCAAAACUUUUCAGCUAGAGUAUGAUAGAGGAAAGCAGAAUUUCUAGUGUAGAGGUGAAAUUCGUAGAUAUUAGAAAGAAUACCGAUUGCGAAGGCAGCUUUCUGGAUCAUUACUGACACUGAGGAACGAAAGCAUGGGUAGCGAAGAGGAUUAGAUACCCUCGUAGUCCAUGCCGUAAACGAUGUGUGUUAGACGUUGGAAAUUUAUUUUCAGUGUCGCAGCGA